UGAAAGUAGGUGUUUUGCACAUAUAGAUUUGGACUAUAGGGGGGAAUCAACUAUCCACUUUCAC
This 64-nucleotide transfer RNA is filed under the name Rectidens sumatrensis. RNAcentral's name for it is "tRNA-Gln". Lineage: Eukaryota; Metazoa; Mollusca; Bivalvia; Unionida; Unionidae. The record is from RNAcentral.